Molecule: ribosomal RNA, 253 nt
Filed under: uncultured bacterium
Lineage: Bacteria
Description: partial 16S ribosomal RNA
Rfam family: Bacterial small subunit ribosomal RNA
Source: RNAcentral
GACGAACCGAGCGAACGUUGUUCGGAAUUAUUGGGCGUAAAGAGCUCGUAGGCGGUCUGUCGCGUCUGCUGUGAAAACUCGGGGCUUAACCCCGGGCCUGCAGUGGGUACGGGCAGACUAGAGUGCGGUAGGGGAGACUGGAAUUCCUGGUGUAGCGGUGAAAUGCGCAGAUAUCAGGAGGAACACCGGUGGCGAAGGCGGGUCUCUGGGCCGUAACUGACGCUGAGGAGCGAAAGCAUGGGGAGCGAACAGG